Drosophila ficusphila is the source of this 919-nucleotide long non-coding RNA. RefSeq lists it as uncharacterized. NCBI's taxonomy places the organism in Eukaryota, Metazoa, Arthropoda, Insecta, Diptera, Drosophilidae. The record is from RefSeq and is a predicted model, not a curated record. The transcript has 2 exons.
AAUUAGAUGGUAUCCUUGAGGGACAUUAUAAGCAUAAAAAGAUUACAAAAUGCCAAAUCCCACGCGGCUUAAAUUUUAAGGAGGAUCUGUAAAUAAUGUUGGUAAAAGUCCUAAGAUUUUCGUUGGCGAAACAUAUGGCAAACGGUGUUUUCUGAAUGAUAUGUUGCAUUCAGCUAGAUUACGCAUACGCCGCGUUGUCCACUGCGAAGAGAGCGAGAAAGAGAGACGUGCACUUUCUGCGAUUGAGUGAAAGAGAAAAGUCACUCGAGAAAACGAGCUGCAUUUUUGCUCACGAAGCGCGUGCGGCGCUCAUAGUUCACACACACACACACACAUAGAUAACGCUGCAGGGGCACCCGCACACACAGACAUGCACACACUGUUCGGAAAAACGAAGCAUCGCUGCCGACUGCGCGCCGACUGCGCUGCCAACGUCGAUGCUCUUUGGGUGUUUUUGGGCUUUUGGCCAGGCUUUUUGCUUUUUGGCUCUGUCGGCUUUGGACUUUCGCAGAGAUUUCACACGCGAUGCGAUUGCAGUUCUUGCAGACACUUUCAUACGUUCGUUCGUGUUUAUUUUCGUUAGCCUUAGCCAAAAACAUCUAAAUUGCAAAUAUUCCGAUAUUUUAAGGAUAUUUGAAACACUUAGGGUUCUUUCGUUCUCUACUUAUUAAUUUUUUUUUGUGGAACACUACGCGCGCGUUUCUGUGUUGCAUAAACUCAAACAUAACAAAAAUGUUUUAUAAAUAUAUUAUUAUCAAAUAAAAAAAAAAAAGAAAUAACAGCGAAAAGUUUUUAAAAGUCAACAACCAACCAACAACAACAACAACAACAAGAAAAAAGCAAGAAAAUCCUUAAACGUAAUUUUUGUAUUUCAACAAUGCAACAACCACAACAACAACUACACCUACAAAAGAGGCAA